Molecule: ribosomal RNA, 497 nt
Filed under: uncultured bacterium
Lineage: Bacteria
Description: partial 16S ribosomal RNA
Rfam family: Bacterial small subunit ribosomal RNA
Source: RNAcentral
GAUGAACGCUGGCGGCGUGCCUAAUACAUGCAAGUCGAGCGAACAGACGAGGAGCUUGCUCCUCUGACGUUAGCGGCGGACGUGUGAGUAACACGUGUAUAACCUACCUAUAAGACUGGGAUAACUUCGGGAAACCGGAGCUAAUACCGGAUAAUAUAUUGAACCGCAUGGUUCAAUAGUGAAAGACGGCUUUGCUGUCACUGAUAGAUGUAUCCGCGCCGCAUUAGCUAGUUGGUAAGGUAACGGCUUACCAAGGCAACGAUGCGUAGCCGACCUGAGAGGGUGAUCGGCCGCACUAGAACUUAGACGGGGUCCAGAGUCCUGCGGGAGGCAGCAGUAGGGAAUCGUCCGCAAUGGGCGGAAGCCUGACAGAGCAACGCCGCGUGAGUGAUGCAGAUCUUCGGAUCGUAAAAAUCUGUUAUUAGGGAAGAACAAAUGUGUAAGUAAAUGUACACGUCGUGACGGUACCUGAUCAGGAAGCCCCGGCUAACUACGUG